Molecule: long non-coding RNA, 396 nt
Filed under: Gallus gallus (chicken)
Lineage: Eukaryota; Metazoa; Chordata; Aves; Galliformes; Phasianidae
Description: lncRNA (ENSGALG00010008781.1)
Source: RNAcentral
CGGAAGGGGGUGGAGCCAGGCUGCACCCCUCGUAGACCCCAUUUAAGGGCUGACUCCCAAGGAGGAAGGAUCUCUAUCUGGAGAUCAAUCCUCUUGGAGCCCUUCUGUGAGUCUAGGACACAGGAAGUGAUAUUCCUGAGAUGAUGAAUGGAUGUGGCUAGUUGCAGAUUUUAGAGGCUUCAGCGCAGAUCAGGUUUGCUGCAGAGAACCUGGAAGAGAAAAUACUGCUUCCAUGCUGCAUUCAGCUUGACGUGAAGACUUACUGUGAAUGUGUCCUCACUCAUCAUUCAGAGGGAUGUCACUGUUCUUGACAGCAUUUGUUCAUGCUAUCUGUCAGCUAAUUGUUGGAAUAGAUCUUGUUUGGCCGAUUUUGAAGACAUAAAAUAUGUAAAUGAG